RNAcentral lists this ribosomal RNA (756 nucleotides) under Kocuria sp. 4-22. Its description in RNAcentral is "bacterial SSU rRNA". It matches the Rfam family "Bacterial small subunit ribosomal RNA", at positions 56 to 824 of the family's 1533-position model. Lineage: Bacteria; Bacillati; Actinomycetota; Actinomycetes; Micrococcales; Micrococcaceae. The record is from RNAcentral.
UGCAGUCGAACGAUGAUGCCCAGCUUGCUGGGCGGAUUAGUGGCGAACGGGUGAGUAAUACGUGAGUAACCUGCCCUUGACUCUGGGAUAAGCCUGGGAAACUGGGUCUAAUACUGGAUACUACCUCUUACCGCAUGGUGGGUGGUGGAAAGGGUUUUACUGGUUUUGGAUGGGCUCACGGCCUAUCAGCUUGUUGGUGGGGUAAUGGCUCACCAAGGCGACGACGGGUAGCCGGCCUGAGAGGGUGACCGGCCACACUGGGACUGAGACACGGCCCAGUCUCCUACGGGAGGCAGCAGUGGGGAAUAUUGCACAAUGGGCGGAAGCCUGAUGCAGCGACGCCGCGUGAGGGAUGACGGCCUUCGGGUUGUAAACCUCUUUCAGUAGGGAAGAAGCGAGAGUGACGGUACCUGCAGAAGAAGCGCCGGCUAACUACGUGCCAGCAGCCGCGGUAAUACGUAGGGCGCAAGCGUUGUCCGGAAUUAUUGGGCGUAAAGAGCUCGUAGGCGGUUUGUCGCGUCUGCUGUGAAAGCCCGGGGCUCAACCCCGGGUCUGCAGUGGGUACGGGCAGACUAGAGUGCAGUAGGGGAGACUGGAAUUCCUGGUGUAGCGGUGAAAUGCGCAGAUAUCAGGAGGAACACCGAUGGCGAAGGCAGGUCUCUGGGCUGUUACUGACGCUGAGGAGCGAAAGCAUGGGGAGCGAACAGGAUUAGAUACCCUGGUAGUCCAUGCCGUAAACGUUGGGCACUAGGUGUG